Molecule: ribosomal RNA, 468 nt
Filed under: uncultured bacterium
Lineage: Bacteria
Description: partial 16S ribosomal RNA
Rfam family: Bacterial small subunit ribosomal RNA
Source: RNAcentral
GACGAACGCUGGCGGCGUGCUUAACACAUGCAAGUCGAACGGAAAGGCCCUGCUUUUGUGGGGUGCUCGAGUGGCGAACGGGUGAGUAACACGUGAGUAACCUGCCCUUGACUUUGGGAUAACUUCAGGAAACUGGGGCUAAUACCGGAUAGGAGCUCCUGCUGCAUGGUGGGGGUUGGAAAGUUUCGGCGGUUGGGGAUGGACUCGCGGCUUAUCAGCUUGUUGGUGGGGUAGUGGCUUACCAAGGCUUUGACGGGUAGCCGGCCUGAGAGGGUGACCGGCCACAUUGGGACUGAGAUACGGCCCAGACUCCUUCGGGAGGCAGCAGUGGGGAAUAUUGCACAAUGGGCGGAAGCCUGAUGCAGCAACGCCGCGUGCGGGAUGACGGCCUUCGGGUUGUAAACCGCUUUCGCCUGUGGCGAAGCGUGAGUGACGGUAAUGGGUAAAGAAGCACCGGCUAACUACGUG